CCGUUCCCAUCCCGAACACGGAAGUUAAGCUCUCCAGCGCCGAUGGUAGUUGGCGGGACACCGCCUGCGAGAGUAGGACGUUGCCGGGC
RNAcentral lists this ribosomal RNA (89 nucleotides) under Anoxybacillus sp. ST70. The record is from RNAcentral. Lineage: Bacteria; Bacillati; Bacillota; Bacilli; Caryophanales; Anoxybacillaceae.